UUGAAAUUCUUGGUGAGAUUUCAUUUUUAAUGAAUGAAUUAUUUCGAAGUUGUUUAAUUUCUUAGUGUUUUGAAUAUUUCCUUUUAUCUAUUUAUUGUUGAUUUCUAACUUGUUUCACAUUUGCCCUGUUUAUAUUUGUUAAAGUCUUUCAUGACCUGUUUUGUAUGGCUUCUUGCAAAAAAAAAAAAUGCAUGUUCUGCUGUAAUUGGGUGGAAUUUCUGUAGAGAUCCAGAUGAUCCUGUUUGUUGGUAAUGUUAUUCAGAUUACCAAGAGAAUGGUGUUAAACUCCUGAACUAUAUGAAUGGAAGUAUCUGUUCCUCCUUGUAAGUUCUAUCAAUUUUUCUUUCAUAUACUCACAGCUCUGUGUUUGGUACGUAUAUACAUGUAAGUUUACUAAGACUUCUUUGUGUAUUGGCCUUUUUAUAACUUUUUCUGGUGGAGGUGGGGUACUGGGGAUUGAACUCAGGGCCACUCAACCACUGAGCCACAUCUCCAGCUCUUUUUUGUAUUUUAUAUAGAGACAGGGUCUCACUGAGUUGCUUAGUGUCUCACCAUUGCUGAGGCUGGCUUUGCCAUCCUCCUGCUUCAGAUUCCCAAGCCACUGGGAUUACUGCGCCUGGCUUUUAUCAUUUUUUAACAUCCUGGUUUUGCCCCUGUAAGUACUUUUAGCUCUGAAGUAUACUUUAUCUGAUAUUUGUAUAUUCACUCUUACAUUUUUUUUUUUUUUUUUGGCUAAUCCUCAUAUCCUUUAUAUUUUUUCAUUAUUUUAUUUCAGACUCUUUACAUAUUUGAAACAAGUUUCUCAUGAAUAGCAUACACACUGAUUCUGCUUUUACAUCCUUUUUAUAUAUUUGUCUUUUAAUUGGUAUAUUGAGGCCAUUUAAAGUAAUUAUCGAUUUGCUAGCAUUCACAGCUCCAUUUUAUGAUUUGAAUUUAUUUUCCCUGCUAACUGUUCCUCUCUUGUGUUUGUUGUUUUCUUCCCUUUGGUUAAUUCACCUUAUUUUAGAAUUCCAUGGAUGUAUCUGUAGUGUUGUAUGUAUUCUAUCCAAUAAGCAAUUUUACUUCUCAGGGUCAUCAUGGCCAUUGUUUUUAUAAUUUUUCUUGUUUCCCACAAAUGAAUGAAUUCUCCUCAAGGCAUUUUACUGUCAGUGGUCUAUAGAGCUUCCCAAAAUCAUGUUUCCCGGUUGAACAUUUCUCAUGUCCUUUACCCACUGAUCAUCCUGCAUCUUACUGUAUUCAUACACACUGAUCCCAGUAUGUAUGUAUCCACCAUGUGGCUAUAGGUGAGCAAUCAUAUAAGAUCAAGCAAACAUGGUAUUACUAUGUGUUAGAGAUUGGGAAGUUUUACAUGUACCAACUGUUUUUGCCGCAGUCUGGCUGGGCACAAAAUAACCGAGCCGCCACGAAGCACUUGUAGGUUCAAACAGCAACUCUUUAUUCCCGAACUCCACCAGCACACUCCACACACACUCCCGGGAACUCUCUCACCCUCCACCAGGCUCCAGGCGAACUCUCGGAACCCGCUAGAACUCCAUGGGAACUCCAAAGUAGCGGGCACCCGAGGCAGCAGGACCCGCCCUAUUUUCGGACUGCAGGGUCCAUAUACAACUCAAUACACAGUCUGUUUCAAUCCAGCAUCAUCCAGUCACAGCAAUUAUAAUUAUCAUCAACUUAAUGGCUCGCUCUUAACCACUCCUUCUGGCGCCAUCCAGACUCAGCUGUGGCCCUCAACAGUUCUAACCUUUAUAACAUCCUUUUUUUGGGGGGGUGUUACUGGGGAUUGAACUUAGUACAGUAAUUACAGGGACGCUCAACCACUGAGCCACAUCUCCACCCCUAUUUUUUUUUUUUUAAGAGAUAGGGUCUCACUGAGUUGAUUAGUACCUUGCUUUUGCUGAGGCUGGUUUUGAACUCACAAUCCUCCUGCCUCAGCCUCUUGAGCUGCUGGGAUUACAGGUCUGUACCACUGUACCCAGCUCCUUUAUAACAUCUUUAUGUAUUAGUUAUUUUCCCAUUUUAUAGAAAGAUGAGGGAAUAUGCCAAAGGUUACCCAUUUGUGAAACUUGAGCUUAGGGACUGGAGGCAGUGUUGGUUGACUCCAGAAUAAAAAACUUAUUGCCUAUUAUGGGGUGGAUCUUCGUUCUCCUGGUCAUUAUUCAUUUUUACUAGAAUGGAUGAAACAGGCUUAUUUAUCUGAAACCUUCUAUUUUAAAACAUUUAAGAAUACAUCUUGGCCAUCUCUUCAAGCAAGUGAGAUGAACCAUACUCUUAAAAGGGGUGUAGUCUGUUGUAACUGUGGAAAAUCUAGAUAAUGCCUGGGUUUGAGAAAUAGGGGAGACGGGAAGUAAGGAGGAGCAGAAAAGGGCCAAGGCUUGCAUUUGUCUUUAGAUGUUUUUUGAGGUGCCUGAAAGACGACUCUGUGAAUCUGCCUAACUUUUGCUUUACUGCCUAAACCAGAUCACUGUAGCCCUCUCUCCUCUUCCUUUUAUUGUCCCCAUAGUGAGCCUCUGCUCCAUUCUGUGCAUUCUAUCUUUUGUUUUUUUAGUAGACACUUAACUAUUUGUUAGGUGAAUACCCACAUAUAGCAGGGUGUUUUUGUAAUGAUUUUUGAGUCCUUCACAGUGUUCACCCUAAAAAAUGGGCACCAUCUAUGACAUGAUGACCUUAAAGAAGAUAUGCAUAGACUUUUAUGGACAGAUGUGCAAAAUUUCAGAAGUCAUAAUGAAUGACUGUUGGAGUCCUCCAAGUUUGAUUUACUAGGAAAAUUCAGAGAACUCAUCAUAUCAUGGUCAGUGGUUAUAAUUUAUUAUAGCCAAAGGAUGUAAAGCACUUACUAAAGGGAGGAGACUCAUUGGCUGAGAAAACCAGGCACUACUUUCUUGAGCCUGUCUCAGUGAAGUCAUAUUAGAUGUGCUUAAUUUAAGCUUUAUCUGGAACUUAACAAUCACAUAUGAGAUUCUAUUAGGGAAUCUUUUGAUGCUCACUGCAGAGAAUUUGCACUGGACAUGUUUUCCAGAACAUACAAUUCCAGACCUCCAAAAAGAUAGCAGGUGUUCCUCAUAAGCCAUAUUGUUGACACAAACAAUUAAGGCACAUGGACCUGCCCACUCUUCAUUUCUGGGAAUAAUGUGCAAUCUGAAAAAUAAUGUCCCAAACUCCAGCCAGGUGUGAAACUUGGAAGCGCAAAGGAUGAUCAGUCUCAAGCUUACUAUGUUGUAUCUUCAGUCACUUAAAAGGCACUCAGCUACUAAAUUCAAAAUUCUUUAUCAUUAAGCAAAUAUAAUUUUCUACAACAUAUAUCAGUUAUAGCUUUCAGAUGAAGCCUUACACAUAUAAACCAUUAAUUUAAUAAGUGGCAAUUCUUAAACUAGUAUUUAAUUUAGUAAACACAAGGUACAGCUGGGUACCAUGGUGCAUGCCUAUAAUCCGGCAACUUGGGAGGCUGAAGCAGGAGGAUUGCAUGUUCAAAGCCAGCUUCAGCAACUUAGCGAGGCCUUAUUUUAAAAUAAAAAAUAAAAGUGCCGGUGAUGUGACACAGUGGUUAAGCAUCAAUGCCUGAUGCAAAAAAAAACCAAAAAACAACAAAAAAAGAGGUAGUCUGGUGAGAAAAAACCUUUUUCUCUAAUAUGUACACAAUGAUACAUUGGCAAGUGGUCUGACUUGUAAAUAUUCCCUGUUAGCCUUC
RNAcentral lists this long non-coding RNA (3685 nucleotides) under Marmota monax (woodchuck). Lineage: Eukaryota; Metazoa; Chordata; Mammalia; Rodentia; Sciuridae. The record is from RNAcentral.